Molecule: long non-coding RNA, 1658 nt
Filed under: Schizosaccharomyces pombe (fission yeast)
Lineage: Eukaryota; Fungi; Ascomycota; Schizosaccharomycetes; Schizosaccharomycetales; Schizosaccharomycetaceae
Source: RNAcentral
GAUAAGCUUGCAACACACGUUGCUCAAAUAAACGGGCAGCAAAAAUUUGGAACAUCCUGCGUCCUUCUUCCAUCCUUUGUUCAUCGGUCAUUAGAUCUAACUCGUCCUCAUCUACAUCUUCUUCGUCUUCUUCUUCAUCUUCGUCAUAUUCCAACCCGCUUUCGUAUAACUCUGGUUCGUGAAAAUUGCUAUUAUCUUCACGCUGCAUACGACGCUCAGCUAACUGUUCCAUCAUUUCUAUAAACUUCUUCCCAUCAUUCUUCAAUAGGUCAUCCGCUACCGUUAAGAUACCUCCUUUCACCGUUAAACUACUCCCGAAGUUAUAAAGAUCAGAAUGAUAGCUAUUUUUCUCAUCUGCUUUAGAGGGAUAAGGAGGCUGAAAAGGAGGCUGUGUUUGAGGGGAAUGUGAAGUGUCUUCCAAUGUCUGAUUUCCGUUGCUUAUAGAAGUGACGAAUUCUUGAUUAUCCACGUUUUUUUCCUCCAAGCUAGUAGUUUCAAUGACUUCUUCAUCAACAUCAGCAUUUGAAGAAUUCAACUCGUCUUGGGUUAUAUCAUCAUUGAGAGAUUUUGAUGGUACGUUGUUCAGAGGAAUCGAUAAAAGCUUAGGUGAAUCGGAGAUGAUUCCUUUCUGGGACUUGUCUGAACCUUCGUCUGAAGCGUUUACAGACUCGGUAUUUGCAAGGUUACGUUGAAUAUUAGCAUAUUGUUCUAAUUCUUCAUAGUAAGCAUCAUACAGUACUUCCAACUCUUCCUCAAUUGCUAAACGUUUCCUUCCACACACCGAACAAGAGCAUGAGUAUUUUUGUUGCUCUUUCAUUUUUUGCAAAACAGCUUCUUUUUCGACUUUAACUAACGACCUGCGUUCACUUUCACUUAAGGAAAGCCAAAAUUCCCGAAUUUGCUCCCGCUCCUCAGUAUUCGAACUGCUCCAAAUAUCUUUGGAUUUAUUAUUGUUAACGUUAUUAUUCAUACUGGCUUGACGCACAGAACCGUUGUAAUAAGAAAGCGCUUGCCCAUUCCUAUAAGUAAUAGCAACGUCCGUAGAAUAAACUUGUUCAAAAUCUCUUUGAUCAUCCACAUUCAACGAUGCACUAUUUGCUUUUGACUUCUUCUUCUUUUUCUUUUUCCGUUUAGAUGAAGUUGACGAACCUAACGCUACUGUAUUCAAAUUCAUAUUAUUUUGAACGGAGUUCGGUGACAUAUUGGACGACGUCGCGUCUUCCAAACCAGGUAUAUGAACUGGAAACUCGGCUUCAUCCACGAAACUGGAGGUAGAAAGAAUACAUUGGGGAGAAUGUUCUAUGGUAUCGUCAGAUUCAAGAGUGAAUUGCCAAUCCGUCGAAGAUAUUCCUUCGACGUUAAUCAACGAUGAAUCAUCACCAUUUGCCGAGACCAGCUGCGGAUGAGAAAUACGAGAAUUCAAAUUUGAAAGUUCCAAAGACGCUUGAUGAUCUAUGACACCAUUAUUCGCGCCAACGUCUGUAACUGCAGAAUCGGUCCCUGCCGACCCAAGCAAAUCCACGUUUGCUUGAGUCUCGACAUUUUUCUUGGCUUUCGGUUUUUUCUUCUUUUUAUUCUUUUUCUUUGUACCAGAGUUGGGAAUAGGUAUAAGAAGAUCCUUGAAACUUGGAGGUUCUAACCCUACACUGAGUGCUUCG